AUGAACGCUGGCGGCGUGCCUAAUACAUGCAAGUCGAGCGAACGGACGAGAAGCUUGCUUCUCUGAUGUUAGCGGCGGACGGGUGAGUAACACGUGGAUAACCUACCUAUAAGACUGGGAUAACUUCGGGAAACCGGAGCUAAUACCGGAUAAUAUUUUGAACCGCAUGGUUCAAAAGUGAAAGACGGUCUUGCUGUCACUUAUAGAUGGAUCCGCGCUGCAUUAGCUAGUUGGUAAGGUAACGGCUUACCAAGGCAACGAUGCAUAGCCGACCUGAGAGGGUGAUCGGCCACACUGGAACUGAGACACGGUCCAGACUCCUACGGGAGGCAGCAGUAGGGAAUCUUCCGCAGUGGGCGAAAGCCUGACGGAGCAACGCCGCGUGAGUGAUGAAGGUCUUCGGAUCGUAAAACUCUGUUAUUAGGGAAGAACAUAUGUGUAAGUAACUGUGCACAUCUUGACGGUACCUAAUCAGAAAGCCACGGCUAACUACGUG
RNAcentral lists this ribosomal RNA (496 nucleotides) under uncultured bacterium. RNAcentral describes it as "partial 16S ribosomal RNA". It matches the Rfam family "Bacterial small subunit ribosomal RNA", at positions 29 to 507 of the family's 1533-position model. The record is from RNAcentral.